Long non-coding RNA from Orcinus orca (killer whale), 3226 nucleotides. RefSeq lists it as uncharacterized. NCBI's taxonomy places the organism in Eukaryota, Metazoa, Chordata, Mammalia, Artiodactyla, Delphinidae. The record is from RefSeq and is a predicted model, not a curated record. The transcript has 3 exons.
ACAUAAGAAUGCCUGUAUCAGCUCAUAAUUUUGAGGUCACCUUGUGUUUACUCACGCAGCCAGCUGGCUUCCUUAGCCGGUCAACACCCACACCAUCCAGAGUUGCAUCUCAAAGAUUUCUGAGGGCUCUGAGCGGCUCUGCCGCUGCCUGGGUGCACUUUCGAGACUGUUCCUCUUGCAGCCAGGUUGUCCUUCUCACCUAAGUCUAAAUAUUUUUCUGUGUUUCGCACCCACUAUCUGUUUAAAUAGAAAAUCACCAGUAAAUUAUUUUCUUUUCCAUGUUCAUAACUGAAUUUUAGAAAUAAUCCGUGAAUUCUUUGGGCUCGCUCUUUACUUAUUCACAGUUUUUAAUAAUAGUUUAUACAGGGAAUAUUUUUAGAAUACUGGCAUUUAUUGCGACUUACCAGUUUUGCACUGGGGACCGAUGACGCAGUGAAUGCGACACAGCCUCUGACUUCAGCAGGUCCACUCUGUACCAGAGCAGCAGGCUCACUGAAGUCAGUCCCCAUACCUGACGGGGGGCAUGAUGGUCGCUCUGGCCCAGGAAAAUGCAGAAAAGCGAGGGCUGCCUCAAACCCUGCUUUCCACCAUUUGCUCUCUUGAGUGCAUUUCUCUUGGGAAAGUACCCUUUUAUGGGAGUCUUUUAAGUUUUAUUUUUAAGUGCCGUUUUCCAAAUAUCUAAUCAUCGACCUGGUUCUCCACUGGAUUCCGCAGAAAGUACACUGGGUUCAUUUAUACUUCAGUUCCUAUUUCUAGGGAUUAAAUAAUACCUGUCCAGAGCAUUAACAUGUACAUUGAUGGGCAUUGUUCAUUCCACGCUUGUCACCCUUCUGUAAACGUGACCAGUGGAAAUGUUAGAGCCUAGACCCAUGGGACUGCGAGUCAGCCGUCUAUGUGGACACGCUCCAGAGCACACCUGUAGAGCCAGGGGCUCCCCAGGGGUCGCGGGUUACAAUUUUGAGGGUAAACACAUCGCAUCAUCCCUUAGAACACCCGUGGUUGUAACAAUGGAAGGAGGUCCCUGAGGUAUUAACUAACGCAGGUUGGUUUGCAUAGGUGACUGGAGGGCUUUCUCAAGAGAUGGUAUUUCUCUGUGCAGUUACGCAUCACCGCUGGACCAGGACAUAGCCAGUCACAUGCUCAGAUUCUUUCACGUGGCCCCUUGAAUCGUGGAAACUGGGACUGAUUGAUGUUAUUUCAAACGAGUGUGUCUUCCCUCUCGCCCUGCCACCCUGCCAUGGUACUUAGUUGUUCAAAACAGUAUAAUUGAGAGGCUGCCCGUGGUCCCCAGUUCUGUCAGCACUUGGAUAGAAGGUGCACUGGGAGGGAGGGUCAGCAUUUAAACCACACUGUGGAAGAAACGUCCGCGUCUUUCUGUGUCACCUCUCAAAUUUCACGUUUCUUCCAUCAGCUUUUGCGUAUAAGCAAGGUAAUGAAUUUGAAAUUCCAUCAGGCCAGAGUGAAACACUUGAGUCAGGAACAGAGUGACUGCUGGCACUGGCGGCCCGGAGGCUGGGCGGCAGUGCUGUCCCCGGGGGACAUCGCGGGACGAGCCCUGUGAAAGACGGCGGUCCCCUCUUGGGCUGCCACCUCUCACAAGCUGUGCUGCUGUGGCCCUGGGGGACCCGGAAGCGCAGCCGCUGGGGGUUUCAUGCAGGAGGUGAGGGGUGGGCAGGGGUGGGCCCCCCGGUGUGGCUGGACACUCGCCUCUCCCUCCCCGCGAGGGGCCUGGGUGGGGGUUGGUUGGCUGCUGUCACCAGCUCCUCCCACCCACCCAGCUGGCCUUGCCGAGGCACCCGACACCCCUGAUAAAGAGCCGGGGUCGUCAUCACUUACAAACACGCAAGCGCUCGGGUUCGGGCCUCUCACCCGCCAGGCAGGCGUCUCAGGCCGGGUCUCUCUCUCUCCUUCUGCCCCGGUGCCGCCGGAUGCCGAGGCUCGAAACCCGUGUGCCCGUCUCCAGAGACACCGUGGCGCUGCGCUCAGAGCCGUUGCCCCAGAUUCCCUUCUCCCCAAAGCGGGGCGGCCAUGCCCCCGGCCCGAGUGACAGCCGCCUGAAGGGCAAGUGCUGGGAGGAGGUGCAAGUGCACGACGCCGGUGGCACGUGCGCUCGCCCGGCAUCCCUGGGGCUCACCGCGAGACCCUCCUCGUCCCCAUAGCACCCCCUUGCCCUCCCGACAGCCUGGAAGGGGGGUUCUCACUGUCACGUUGCCUCUAUAAAGUACAGGGACAGAGCGGGAAGGGCCGCUCGUCGGACGUCCCCGGGCUGCCCCUGGCUGUCUGAGUUUUCUGUCUUUCCUCGUCUGUGGAAUAACUCGCCCAGACCCAGAAAAGUGUGGGGUUCCAGCAGUUCCCAGAGCCCGGGUCUGCGGCACCAGCACCGAGAUGCUGACGCAGCCCAGCCCUCGCUGAAGACACGUAAACAGCUGGGGAGGGGAGGCCACGGAGGCCAGUGUAACAGAAUCGGCCGCCAGCUUCUCGGCUGCCAUAUGUGCUGUGUAAUGCUUGUCAUCUCCAGUGAGUCAUUAAAAGGUUCCCCUUAAUGGGGCUUUGAAGUGCCGGGCCGCUUGAGCGCUUCCAUAAAUUCCACAAACAGCCCUCUGACUGCGCUGGCUAAUUGCUUGCUCUUUGACAUAUUAGGAUCAACUGAGCUAAAUAAUUUGUCACAUGUGUGGCUCGUAAUAAAUAAUGUGACCAGCCGGUUUGUGAGCUGUUUGGGUGAUAUAUUGUACCCCUUUUGGAUGUUGUCACACGUAGCUAGCAAAUGGGGGCUGUUUCAUCCAAAGGGCUAUCUUUUCCCUGCAAAGAGAGUAAGUUCUGACAGAGCAGCUGGGGAAAAGAAUUUAGAAGAGUCUAGUUACAAACAAAUGUGUUCAUUUCUACUUCAGCCUUUCCGUGAAGCAUUAAUCAUCAUUUUUCUUGCUUAUUAGGCAUAUAUAUCACACAUCAUGCAAGUCAUAGGCAAGAGAAUAGAAAUAAGGUUAACUAUAGCUUCCGGAAUCCCUGCUUUGAAAGAUUAAUCGAGGUGCCAUUCCUAUGCAGUAAAAGACCAACGAAUAAGAAACGUUGUAUAAGUAACGCAAAUCUACAUGUUUCAUCUUCUUCCGAUUGUUUUUGAACUGAUAAUAAACUAGGGAACAUAUUCCUUAUUUUUGUAAAAAGUGACUUAAAAUUUUUUUCAUAAAUAAAAUGUUAUGACCUGCCUCUCAUAGAUGAUUUAAUCUUA